CAAUGAAAAAGGCAAAGCAUUCUGAAAAGAUGUGACGCAAAACUUCCGGUCUACGUCGAUGGAUAAGAUAGCGGGGUUACCGAA
This 84-nucleotide non-coding RNA is filed under the name Alteromonas sp. Its description in RNAcentral is "c-di-GMP sequence". It matches the Rfam family "c-di-GMP-I riboswitch aptamer". From Rfam's summary of the family: GEMM was predicted in a large-scale screen for bacterial structured RNA regulatory elements. Genes associated with GEMM are involved in a diverse array of functions, including chemotaxis regulation, signal transduction, secretion and chitin. The record is from RNAcentral. RNAcentral also lists the same sequence under 1 other name. Lineage: Bacteria; Pseudomonadati; Pseudomonadota; Gammaproteobacteria; Alteromonadales; Alteromonadaceae.